Molecule: ribosomal RNA, 520 nt
Filed under: uncultured Glomus
Lineage: Eukaryota; Fungi; Glomeromycota; Glomeromycetes; Glomerales; Glomeraceae
Description: SSU rRNA
Rfam family: Eukaryotic small subunit ribosomal RNA
Source: RNAcentral
AGCAGCCGCGGUAAUUCCAGCUCCAAUAGCGUAUAUUAAAGUUGCUGCAGUUAAAAAGCUCGUAGUUGAAUUUCGGGACUAAUAUGUCGGUCGUGCCUCGGUACGUACUGGUUUAUUGGUUUCUCCUUUCUGAAGAACCAUGAUGUCAUUUAUUUGGUGUCGUGGGGAAUCAGGACUGUUACUUUGAAAAAAUUAGAGUGUUUAAAGCAGGCUCACGCUUGAAUACAUUAGCAUGGAAUAAUGAAAUAGGACGUUUGAUUCUAUUUUGUUGGUUUCUAGGAUCGACGUAAUGAUUAAUAGGGAUAGUUGGGGGCAUUAGUAUUCAAUUGUCAGAGGUGAAAUUCUUGGAUUUAUUGAAGACUAACUACUGCGAAAGCAUUUGCCAAGGAUGUUUUCAUUAAUCAAGAACGAAAGUUAGGGGAUCGAAGACGAUCAGAUACCGUCGUAGUCUUAACCAUAAACUAUGCCGACUAGGGGUCGGAUGAUGUUAAUUUUUUAAUGACUCAUUCGGCGCCUUACG